RNAcentral lists this transfer RNA (73 nucleotides) under Marmota monax (woodchuck). RNAcentral's name for it is "tRNA.Ala". The record is from RNAcentral. Lineage: Eukaryota; Metazoa; Chordata; Mammalia; Rodentia; Sciuridae.
GGGGGUGUGGCUCAGAGGUACAGCGCUUGCCUAGCAUGUAUGAGGCACUGGGUUCUAGUCUCAGCAUCGCACA